RNAcentral lists this ribosomal RNA (550 nucleotides) under uncultured bacterium. RNAcentral describes it as "bacterial SSU rRNA". It matches the Rfam family "Bacterial small subunit ribosomal RNA", at positions 355 to 896 of the family's 1533-position model. The record is from RNAcentral.
UGGGGAAUCUUCCGCAAUGGACGAAAGUCUGACGGAGCAACGCCGCGUGAGUGAUGACGGCCUUCGGGUUGUAAAGCUCUGUUAAUCGGGACGAAUGGUUCUUGUGCAAAUAGUGCGAGGAUUUGACGGUACCGGAAUAGAAAGCCACGGCUAACUACGUGCCAGCAGCCGCGGUAAUACGUAGGUGGCAAGCGUUGUCCGGAAUUAUUGGGCGUAAAGCGCGCGCAGGCGGAUUGGUCAGUCUGUCUUAAAAGUUCGGGGCUUAACCCCGUGAUGGGAUGGAAACUGCCAAUCUAGAGUAUCGGAGAGGAAAGUGGAAUUCCUAGUGUAGCGGUGAAAUGCGUAGAUAUUAGGAAGAACACCAGUGGCGAAGGCGACUUUCUGGACGAAAACUGACGCUGAGGCGCGAAAGCCAGGGGAGCGAGCGGGAUUAGAUACCCCGGUAGUCCUGGCCGUAAACGAUGGGUACUAGGUGUAGGAGGUAUCGACCCCUUCUGUGCCGGAGUUAACGCAAUAAGUACCCCGCCUGGGGAGUACGACCGCAAGGUUG